GGGAGAUGAUGAGUGGUAAAAUCUCGCAUUUUUACUGCGAGAGGGGUGCCUGCCCCGAAUAAGCCUGUUACGACAACAGGGCACUCCAAUCGUUUACCAUCUGAUCCC
This is a small nucleolar RNA of Dichanthelium oligosanthes, 108 nucleotides long. It matches the Rfam family "Small nucleolar RNA Z279/snoR105/snoR108". Rfam says of the family: This family includes the plant snoRNAs known as Z279, snoR105 and snoR108. All three are members of the C/D class of snoRNA which contain the C (UGAUGA) and D (CUGA) box motifs. Most of the members of the box C/D family function in directing site-specific 2'-O-methylation of substrate RNAs. The record is from Rfam. NCBI's taxonomy places the organism in Eukaryota, Viridiplantae, Streptophyta, Magnoliopsida, Poales, Poaceae.